AUGGUGAACCAUGGGAAGGAGAAGGCUCGAUUUUUGUUCUCGAUCUGCUCUCUGACGGCGGCAGCCUUCCCCGAGCUUGGCGAGCUGGAGCCGUCCCUUCCCGUCGUGGAUCUGCUCUCCGCGACGCCGCCUGCCUCCCCGGACCAUCCCCUCUCGCUCAGCCGCGACUCCCUCCCUGGAGCAGCCGCUCCCUCCCAACCCAAAGCCGCCGGCCGGAGCUACACCGCAGCACACUCCCUCCCUCCUCUUCUUAGGGACCGAAUUGUGGUCGAGGAGGAGCUUUCCCUUGUCGCCCAGCAGCUCCUGCUCCAACGGGCUCGUCCACAAGUCCGGCAGCACCAGCCGCUCUUCCCUCUUCCGGUCUAG
Molecule: ribosomal RNA, 366 nt
Filed under: Triticum aestivum (bread wheat)
Lineage: Eukaryota; Viridiplantae; Streptophyta; Magnoliopsida; Poales; Poaceae
Description: partial small subunit ribosomal RNA
Source: RNAcentral